Amphimedon queenslandica is the source of this 1116-nucleotide RNA transcript. It is a transcript of the gene named transmembrane protein 144-like, with no coding region annotated. The transcript is spliced from 7 exons. Lineage: Eukaryota; Metazoa; Porifera; Demospongiae; Haplosclerida; Niphatidae. The record is from RefSeq and is a predicted model, not a curated record.
GUACAUUAAUGACUCUAUCACUAACUAGACUUACUGUCCAAUGAACCCAACCAAUAAACAAUAUCUGUUUAACAUUACAACUACAAAUAAAGCUGGGAAUGGGUCUAUUAGUGACAUAACUGUUGGAUUUCAAUCAAAUGUACAGUUAUAUGUAACUGAUAAGGAAAGAGGGAAUGUAAAUUGGACUUUACAUUUCAUUGUAUCUAAGUAUAAUGCAGUUAUGUUUACUUUCAGUUUUGUACUAAUGUACCACCACUAGUGAACAUUACAUUGAAAGGAUGUACUAAGGAUAACUGUUUUUCAACAACAAAUGUAUCCAUAAGCAAUAGUUCUUAUAAUAACUUUUCACUUGUUGUUCAAUUUCCAUUAAAUAAGACACUGAAUACUAAUGCUACCUUGUACUAUCAAAAUGGAGUUACAGUUCAAAGCAACACUAUAACAAUCAGUAAGUGCUUGGAAAAGAUGAGGACUACUCCUGGGUUGACAAGUUAGUGAAAUGGCAGCAAAAAAUUGUUGGUUUUAGUAUGGCAUUAGGUAGAUAUUGGAUUUUUAUUUGGCACUCAAUUUUUAGCAGUUGAAUUUAUGAGAUUAUACGAAGAUGACACUCAUUCAUGCAACAAGCUUGAUUAUAUCUUUAGUCACUUCACUGGUAUCUUCUUUUAGUAAAUACUUUCUGGACAUGAGGAACAGACCUAAGGUUUAUCCUAAAGUCAUCCUGCCAACUCUCAAGUGGCAUCAUAUGGGGAUAGCAAUGAGUGAGUCAUCAUGGGACUGUCAUGUGGCAUCUUCCUCUCUUUAGCUGGCUACUUUGUAGCUAAUGAGAAUUUAUCACUAGCUGUUAGUUUCCCAAUCAUUACAGCGAUGUACUGUAUAUACAUGUUUAUUCUAUUAGGGCCCUGGAUUUAUUAGUCCAGUUUGGGGUAUUUUACUAUACAGAGAGAUCAAGGCAUGAAAAAAUAUUAGUCUUUACUUUGGUGGCUUUUUUUGUUUCAGUCUGUGGUGUGAUAAUGGUUGCUCUCUCUCUCUCGAAUAACAAAGUUAAAUGUUAAUGAUACAUAAAUUUCACUGAGUGAUUGAUAAAAAAAAUUGAUGAGGAGGCUAACAAAAAUAUAGUAA